CCUANGGGUGGCUGCAGUGGGGAAUUUUGGACAAUGGGCGCAAGCCUGAUCCAGCCAUGCCGCGUGUGUGAUGAAGGCCUUCGGGUUGUAAAGCACUUUCGGACGGAACGAAAUCGCACGGGCGAAUAUCCCGUGUGGAUGACGGUACCGUAAGAAGAAGCACCGGCUAACUACGUGCCAGCAGCCGCGGUAAUACGUAGGGUGCGAGCGUUAAUCGGAAUUACUGGGCGUAAAGGGUGCGCAGGCGGCUCCGCAAGUCAGGCGUGAAAUCCCCGAGCUUAACUUGGGAAUUGCGUUUGAAACUAUGGAGCUGGAGUGUGGCAGAGGGAGGUGGAAUUCCACGUGUAGCGGUGAAAUGCGUAGAUAUGUGGAGGAACACCGAUGGCGAAGGCAGCCUCCUGGGUCAACACUGACGCUCAUGCACGAAAGCGUGGGGAGCAAACAGGAUUAGAUACCCGGNUANUC
This 465-nucleotide ribosomal RNA is filed under the name uncultured bacterium. RNAcentral describes it as "bacterial SSU rRNA". It matches the Rfam family "Bacterial small subunit ribosomal RNA", at positions 338 to 795 of the family's 1533-position model. The record is from RNAcentral.